This 55-nucleotide transfer RNA is filed under the name Bos taurus (domestic cattle). It matches the Rfam family "tRNA", at positions 8 to 63 of the family's 71-position model. Rfam says of the family: Transfer RNA (tRNA) molecules are approximately 80 nucleotides in length. Their secondary structure includes four short double-helical elements and three loops (D, anti-codon, and T loops). The record is from Rfam by way of RNAcentral. RNAcentral also lists the same sequence under 2 other names. Lineage: Eukaryota; Metazoa; Chordata; Mammalia; Artiodactyla; Bovidae.
UGGCUUAGUGGUAAAGAAUCUGCCUGCAAUGCAGGAGACACAGGUUCAAUCCUGA